RNAcentral lists this ribosomal RNA (254 nucleotides) under uncultured bacterium. Its description in RNAcentral is "partial 16S ribosomal RNA". It matches the Rfam family "Bacterial small subunit ribosomal RNA", at positions 524 to 776 of the family's 1533-position model. The record is from RNAcentral.
UACAGAGGUCCCGAGCGUUGUUCGGAUUCACUGGGCGUAAAGGGUGCGCAGGUGGUUGGGCAAGUUCGAUGUGAAAGCCCCCGGGCUUAACCCGGGAAUGGCAUUGAAAACUGCUUGACUGGAGGAUCGGAGGGGGGACUGGAAUUCUUGGUGUAGCAGUGAAAUGCGUAGAUAUCAAGAGGAACACCAGUGGCGAAGGCGAGUCCCUGGACGAUACCUGACACUGAGGCACGAAAGCUAGGGGAGCAAACAGG